CUCCUUCGGAAAUUUACUGGAGGGGCGAACGGGGGAGUAACACGUGGGUAUUUUGCCCUGCACUUCGGGAUAAGCCUGGGAAACUGGGUCUAAUACCGAAUAUGACCACGAGACGCAUGUCAUGUGGUGGAAAGCUUUUGCGGUGUGGGAUGGGCCCGCGGCCUAUCAGCUUGUUGGUGGGGUGACGGCCUACCAAGGCGACGACGGGUAGCCGGCCUGAGAGGGUGUCCGGCCACACUGGGACUGAGAUACGGCCCAGACUCCUACGGGAGGCAGCAGUGGGGAAUAUUGCACAAUGGGCGCAAGCCUGAUGCAGCGACGCCGCGUGGGGGAUGACGGCCUUCGGGUUGUAAACCUCUUUCAGCAGGGACUAAGCGCAARUGACGGUACCUGCAGAAGAAGCA
Molecule: ribosomal RNA, 404 nt
Filed under: Mycobacteriaceae bacterium Ellin7022
Lineage: Bacteria; Bacillati; Actinomycetota; Actinomycetes; Mycobacteriales; Mycobacteriaceae
Description: bacterial SSU rRNA
Rfam family: Bacterial small subunit ribosomal RNA
Source: RNAcentral